Non-coding RNA from Acanthosepion pharaonis, 103 nucleotides. The record is from the annotation of a GenBank genome assembly. Lineage: Eukaryota; Metazoa; Mollusca; Cephalopoda; Sepiida; Sepiidae.
UUACGGCCAGAGUACGUUGAAACACCAAUUCCCGUACGAUCGCCGAAGUUAAGCAUCACCGACCCUGGUCAGUACCUAGAUUGGUGACCACUUGGGAAUACCA